This 407-nucleotide ribosomal RNA is filed under the name uncultured bacterium. RNAcentral's name for it is "partial 16S ribosomal RNA". It matches the Rfam family "Bacterial small subunit ribosomal RNA", at positions 30 to 526 of the family's 1533-position model. The record is from RNAcentral.
AUUGAACGCUGGCGGCAGGCUUUACACAUGCAAGUCGAGCGGAGCGGCGGACGGGUGAGUAAUGCCUAUGUAUCUGCCUGUUAGCGGGGGAUAACGUCCGGUAACGGGCGCUAAUACCGCAUACUAUCAGAUGAGCCUAGGUCGGAUUAGCUAGUUGGUGGGGUAAAGGCCUACCAAGGCAACGAUCCGUAACUGGUCUGAGAGGAUGAUCAGUCACACUGGAACUGAGACACGGUCCAGACUCCUACGUGAGGCAGCAGUGGGGAAUAUUGGACAAUGGGCGAAAGCCUGAUCCAGCCAUGCCGCGUGUGUGAAGAAGGUCUUCGGAUUGUAAAGCACUUGAAGUAGGGAGGCGUUACCAACAGAAUAAGCACCGGCUAACUACGUGCCAGCAGCCGCGGUAAUAC